CCUAUCUUCCAUAACUAUGUUCUCUUGUACGAACCCGGUAGAAGCAUCAACAACUGUCAUUAACAGCUGUCCUCGCCGUUCACCUAUGCCGCCGAACAGGUGAUCUGGAUCUUGACCUAUGCUGCCGAACAGGUGAUCUGGAUCUUGACCUAUGCUUCCGAACAGGUGAUCUUGACUUAUGCUUCCGAACAGGUGAUUUUGAUCUUGAUCUAUGCUUCCGAACAGGUGAUCUGGAUCUUGACUUAUGCUUCCGAACAGGUGAUCUGGAUCUUGACCUAUGCUUCCGAACAGGUGAUCUGGAUCUUGACCUAUGCUUCCGAACUGGUGAUUUGGAUCUUGACCUUCUUACCCUGCAUAAAAAGGAAACCCUGUAAAUAAACAAGGCACAGCUGUAGUAUAAAUGGGAACCCAUACAAAUUCACCUGAGUAGCUUAUAUUGUUAUAUGAUGAUGGUAGUUUGUCUCAAAAAUAUAAACCUUAAACAUGAUUAACUUAAUGGCAACAAACCUGG
This 511-nucleotide long non-coding RNA is filed under the name Medicago truncatula (barrel medic). Its description in RNAcentral is "long non-coding RNA (MTRU_LNC006393)". The record is from RNAcentral. Lineage: Eukaryota; Viridiplantae; Streptophyta; Magnoliopsida; Fabales; Fabaceae.